AUGGUAGCCGUCAUCAUGAAAUGCACCAUCUCGACAACUAUCAUCGGUAGCAGUGGGAGAGGGUUGCGCCUCGCACAACCACCCGAUGUGACCAACCCAAUGCCCGAUGCAUCGCGCCAAAUCCAUCUGAUCUGGCAAACCUCACCACCACCUAGCUACACCAACCCAUGUGCCACCGCAUCUGAUCACACACAUAGGAAUGUCAAAUAUGCCUCUGACCAUCACCGACGAGACAACCCUCCCCUAGGCAACGACGACAGUUGUUCUGCUCGUUCACCGCUGCCGGUCACAUCACCUCACACUCGACGCACUAUCGAACCCGACUAUGGCUAUAGUAAUCUUCGCACGACCUCGCCAAUCACCAACGGCGCUUUGACCUCUUCAACCACACCGUCAUUGGGGACGAGAGGGCACAAGUGCCCGCACAACCUUUGGCCUAUGCAUCGACGGCCACCCACCUGGCCCGGCGCAUCUUGA
Molecule: ribosomal RNA, 477 nt
Filed under: Triticum aestivum (bread wheat)
Lineage: Eukaryota; Viridiplantae; Streptophyta; Magnoliopsida; Poales; Poaceae
Description: partial small subunit ribosomal RNA
Source: RNAcentral